RNAcentral lists this long non-coding RNA (797 nucleotides) under Homo sapiens (human). RNAcentral describes it as "HSALNT0104861". The record is from RNAcentral. Lineage: Eukaryota; Metazoa; Chordata; Mammalia; Primates; Hominidae.
AAGAAGCUGAAGAGAAGGAGGAGGACCUGUGAACCAGAGAUGCUCAGUCAUUAUUAGCGAGGAAAUACGGAGAGCCCCUGUGUGCAGUGGUGACUACUCAUGCAAAAUGUCACACAGCCAAUAUUUAACACAGCCAGUAUUUCACACAGCCAAUAUUUAUUAGUGACAUAGCAUAUACCAGUUAUUACUCUAGGUCAUGAGAAUGGAGUGAUAAAUAAAAUGAAUCCAGUCGCCAUCACUAUAUGCCAUGUAACAUUUUGCAAUGACUUGACUGUGUACCAGGCCUAUCAUUUUCAGUAUGCAAUUUCAAUAAUGAUCCUAUUGUAUCUGUGGUGUUUAAAAAUAUAUACAUCUCUGGAAUCUAAAAUUGAGAGGAUAUAAGUAAAACCCAGUAUCCCAAAUGUAGUGCUAGAAAUCAGAUUGUAGUUUAAAUCUGAGCAUGUAGAAAGUCCCUUUCUCCUAUGUCAGCAGGUGCCUUUUGUCUGAGGUUUGUUUAGGUAUACUGCAUUGUUAGACAUAAGCUAGUGUUUCUGCCCUAUGUUUUCAGAAUGACAAUUCUUUAUGAAACUAAUAAAACAGAAGACAAUAGCAAAAUCAUGAUGAAGACACUAAUUGCUUUAGAAUCAAGGAAUAGGAAAAAUAAUGUGAGCUGCAGUUAAAUGGAUCAUAAAAAAUUAAAAUGAAAAUAUUUUUGAGUGUUUAUUAUGUGGUCAGUGCUAAGAAGUCAUUAUUUAAUUUUACACUUAAAAAUAAUCCUGUGAAGAUGAUGCUGUUAUUAAAUGCAUUUGAUAGAUUAC